RNAcentral lists this ribosomal RNA (781 nucleotides) under fungal sp. RNAcentral describes it as "eukaryotic LSU rRNA". The stretch from base 514 to 781 matches the Rfam family "Eukaryotic large subunit ribosomal RNA", at positions 1 to 264 of the family's 3401-position model. The record is from RNAcentral. Lineage: Eukaryota; Fungi.
GGUGACCUGCGGAGGAUCAUUACUGAGUGAGGGCCCUCUGGGUCCAACCUCCCACCCGUGUUUAUUGUACCUUGUUGCUUCGGUGCGCCCGCCUCACGGCCGCCGGGGGGCUUCUGCCCCCGGGUCCGCGCGCACCGGAGACACUAUUGAACUCUGUCUGAAGAUUGCAGUCUGAGCAUAAACUAAAUAAGUUAAAACUUUCAACAACGGAUCUCUUGGUUCCGGCAUCGAUGAAGAACGCAGCGAAAUGCGAUAACUAAUGUGAAUUGCAGAAUUCAGUGAAUCAUCGAGUCUUUGAACGCACAUUGCGCCCCCUGGUAUUCCGGGGGGCAUGCCUGUCCGAGCGUCAUUGCUGCCCUCAAGCACGGCUUGUGUGUUGGGCUCCGUCCCCCCGGGGACGGGUCCGAAAGGCAGCGGCGGCACCGAGUCCGGUCCUCGAGCGUAUGGGGCUUUGUCACCCGCUCUGUAGGCCCGGCCGGCGCCAGCCGACAACCAAUCAUCCUUUUUUCAGGUUGACCUCGGAUCAGGUAGGGAUACCCGCUGAACUUAAGCAUAUCAAUAAGCGGAGGAAAAGAAACCAACAGGGAUUACCUCAGUAACGGCGAGUGAAGCGGUAAGAGCUCAAAUUUGAAAGCUGGCUCCUUCGGGGUCCGCAUUGUAAUUUGCAGAGGAUGUUUCGGGAGCAGCCCCCAUCUAAGUGUCCUGGAACGGACCGUCAUAGAGGGUGAGAAUCCCGUAUGGGGAUGGGGUGUCUGCGCCCAUGUGAAACUCCUUCGACGAG